This is an RNA transcript of Spinacia oleracea (spinach), 1647 nucleotides long. It is a transcript of the gene named S-adenosylmethionine carrier 1, chloroplastic/mitochondrial-like, with no coding region annotated. Lineage: Eukaryota; Viridiplantae; Streptophyta; Magnoliopsida; Caryophyllales; Amaranthaceae. The record is from RefSeq and is a predicted model, not a curated record. The transcript has 5 exons.
AUAGCCCAACCCCAAGAUUUUUAUCUUCCCUAUUUCUCACCAACUCCUCAACCGAAUGAAAUCUUCUAGACCUCUACCCUGUACUUGCAGCCUAUCUUCCCUAUCCUUCUACUUUCUUCUUAUCUUCUUCUAGUUUAUUUUUGAAAUAAAAAACACUGUAGAUUCGAAAUCAAUGGUUUAUAUAAAGUUCUGUUUGGAUUAAAUUCUAGGAUUUUGGUAUAUAUCAAAUUUGCAAGUUUUGCUGUAAUAUAAGCUCUUAAUAUUGAUUCUGGGAAUUUUUUAUUAUUUUUAUUUGAUUAGUCAAUUUUCCUGGGUUUUGGUUUGAAGGAAAAGAAAAAUUUCAGCUCCUGAUCUACAGACGUUACUUCCAAUAACGUCUGGAUUUCAGUCCCUUAUCCCACCUUAAAUUCUAUUUCAGCUCCCUACCAAACACUUCUAAUCAUAUAAGAUGACUUAUACUAAUAGCACCUAAUCAUUUAAGGUGACUGAAAGUGUUUGCCAAACAGAGCCUUAGUUAACUAAGUUCAUCACUUAAGCUGCAUUGAUUUCCAUGAAUAUUGAUUUGACUAUAUUGCCACUGCCACUCUUCGUGAAACUAUAUCCAGUUCCAACAUUUUCAUGCAAUUUACUAUCAUGUUCCUUUGGCAGGGAAUGAUUGUGGGUAUAUAAGUCUUGAGUGUUUCCCUUAAUGUUUAAAGUUGAGAAGAUUUUUUUUUACCUCAUAAAAACAGUAACUUGGAAGCUUUUUAUUACGUACUGUUUUUUAUUCUUUUACCAAAGGGAGGAUGAAAAUCACUCAAUAAUUAUGCUCAAUUGCAAAUUGCUAAGAAUCCAGAUGUUUCUUAGCUGAUUUGAAUCAGAUAACAAAAAUAAGGGGUAAAAUAAGCAAUUCAUAAGCAACAUCAACAUGAAAUGAAGUAAGCAGGGGAACUUUAGAUUGUAUUUGCAGAUCAGUGUUAUCUAACCAGUUUUACAACCUACUCACACUUCGAGUUCAUAAUCUCCUAAUAUUUCUCUAUCUAUAUUCAGCAUAAGCCUUUCCCUCCCAAUCUCUAGCUAUAUAUUACGUCAUGCUCACCCUUCCCUUGCUUCCCGGUAUCCGACAAAUGAGAUAAUAUCCUCCCUCCCCUUAUUACAAAAGGCAGUAACUAACUCUCUGGUAAAUUUUGUUAGUUGCACAUACACUUCCUUCUUGCAUAAGUGCAUAUCACAGGAGACUGCAGGUGCCGUUGGUGGAAUGGAUGCAUCUCUAAUUCGUGUUCCUACUGAACUUGUUAAGCAGAGGAUGCAAACAGGACAAUUUGUUUCAGCUCCUGAUGUUGUGCGUCUAAUUGUUGCUAAGGAAGGAUUUAAAGGGUUACCGAUCGUUUCUGCUUCGAGAUUUGCCGUUUGACGCCAUACAGUUCUGCCUCUAUGAACAACUUCGGCUAGGUUACAAGUUGGCAGUAUUCAAUAAUCCGAGGGAGCAGCCUUUCACCUUUGAGGAGAUAGAUGAAGUUCGAGAAACGUUGGCAAACUUCAUUACCAGUGAUUGUUUUUUAUAUUUUCUUGUAUUGAAUCUUAAAUUAUGGAUGCUAGCUAGUUUUUCAAAUGAUUGUAAUGUAAUCUACUUUUAUAUUUACAAUUAUAUACUAUUUAAUUUAAUUA